CUCGUAGGCGGUCUGUCGCGUCGAAUGUGAAAAUCCGGGGCUCAACUCCGGACCUGCAUUCGAUACGGGCAGACUAGAGUUCGGUAGGGGAGACUGGAAUUCCUGGUGUAGCGGUGAAAUGCGCAGAUAUCAGGAGGAACACCGGUGGCGAAGGCGGGUCUCUGGGCCGAUACUGACGCUGAGGAGCGAAAGCGUGGGGAGCAAACA
RNAcentral lists this ribosomal RNA (207 nucleotides) under uncultured bacterium. RNAcentral describes it as "partial 16S ribosomal RNA". It matches the Rfam family "Bacterial small subunit ribosomal RNA", at positions 568 to 774 of the family's 1533-position model. The record is from RNAcentral.